GAAAUGCGAUAAGUAAUGUGAAUUGCAGAAUUCAGUGAAUCAUCGAAUCUUUGAACGCACAUUGCGCCCCCUGGUAUUCCGGGGGGCAUGCCUGUUCGAGCGUCAUUUCACCACUCAAGCCUCGCUUGGUAUUGGGCGACGCGGUCCGCCGCGCGCCUCAAAUCGACCGGCUGGGUCUUUCGUCCCCUCAGCGUUGUGGAAACUAUUCGCUAAAGGGUGCCGCGGGAGGCCACGCCGUAAAACAACCCCUUUUCUAAGGUUGACCUCGGAUCAGGUAGGGAUACCCGCUGAACUUAAGC
Molecule: unclassified non-coding RNA, 299 nt
Filed under: plant metagenome
Description: partial contains 5.8S ribosomal RNA, internal transcribed spacer 2, and large subunit ribosomal RNA
Rfam family: 5.8S ribosomal RNA (bases 1-105)
Source: RNAcentral